GUGCCAGCCGCCGCGGUAAUACAGAGGGUGCGAGCGUUGUUCGGAAUUACUGGGCGUAAAGCGCGCGCAGGCGGCCUUUUAAGUCCGACGGUGAAAUGCCGGGGCUCAACCCCGUGCCCGCCGCGGAUACUGGGAGGCUGGAGACGAGUAGAGGCAAGCGGAAUUCCGGGUGUAGCGGUGGAAUGCGUAGAGAUCCGGAAGAACACCGGAGGCGAAGGCGGCUUGCUGGGCUCGGUCUGACGCUGAGGCGCGAAAGCGUGGGGAGCGAACAGGAUUAGAUACCCUCGUAGUCC
This 293-nucleotide ribosomal RNA is filed under the name uncultured bacterium. Its description in RNAcentral is "partial 16S ribosomal RNA". It matches the Rfam family "Bacterial small subunit ribosomal RNA", at positions 505 to 796 of the family's 1533-position model. The record is from RNAcentral.